This 501-nucleotide ribosomal RNA is filed under the name uncultured bacterium. RNAcentral's name for it is "partial 16S ribosomal RNA". It matches the Rfam family "Bacterial small subunit ribosomal RNA", at positions 29 to 523 of the family's 1533-position model. The record is from RNAcentral.
AUUGAGCGCUGGCGGCAUGCCUUACACAUGCAAGUCGAACGGCAGCACGGGUGCUUGCACCUGGUGGCGAGUGGCGAACGGGUGAGUAAUACAUCGGAACGUACCUUAUCGUGGGGGAUAACGCAGCGAAAGCCGUGCUAAUACCGCAUACGCCCUGAGGGGGAAAGCGGGGGAUCGCAAGACCUCGCGCGAUUAGAGCGGCCGAUGCCUGAUUAGCUAGUUGGUGGGGUAAAAGCCCACCAAGGCGACGAUCAGUAGCUGGUCUGAGAGGACGAUCAGCCACACUGGGACUGAGACACGGCCCAGACUCCUACGGGAGGCAGCAGUGGGGAAUUUUGGACAAUGGGGGCAACCCUGAUCCAGCAAUGCCGCGUGAGUGAAGAAGGCCUUCGGGUUGUAAAGCUCUUUUGUCAGGGAAGAAACACCGGCUCUAACACAGUCCGGGAAUGACGGUACCUGAAGGAUAAGCACCGGCUAACUACGUGCCAGCCGCCGCGGUAA